AUAACGGCUCGUUUCAGAGCCACCAAAUAGUCAAGAAAGAAUACUCG
Molecule: non-coding RNA, 47 nt
Organism: Strongylocentrotus purpuratus (purple sea urchin)
Lineage: Eukaryota; Metazoa; Echinodermata; Echinoidea; Camarodonta; Strongylocentrotidae
Source: Rfam